Molecule: ribosomal RNA, 170 nt
Filed under: Hoya albiflora
Lineage: Eukaryota; Viridiplantae; Streptophyta; Magnoliopsida; Gentianales; Apocynaceae
Description: 5.8S ribosomal RNA
Rfam family: 5.8S ribosomal RNA
About the family: 5.8S ribosomal RNA (5.8S rRNA) is a component of the large subunit of the eukaryotic ribosome. It is transcribed by RNA polymerase I as part of the 45S precursor that also contains 18S and 28S rRNA.
Source: RNAcentral
ACACGACUCUCGGCAACGGAUAUCUAGGCUCUCGCAUCGAUGAAGAACGUAGCAAACUGCGAUACUUGGUGUGAAUUGCAGAAUCCCGUGAACCAUCGAGUCUUUGAACGCAAGUUGCGACCGAAGCCAUUAGGCCGAGGGCACGUCUGCCUGGGCGUCACGCAUCGCGU